RNAcentral lists this unclassified non-coding RNA (2410 nucleotides) under Hevea brasiliensis (rubber tree). The record is from RNAcentral. Lineage: Eukaryota; Viridiplantae; Streptophyta; Magnoliopsida; Malpighiales; Euphorbiaceae.
AAUUUUCUAGACUCAACUCGUGCCUGCUUCUCAUUUGAGAAACCUAUUUCCAACGGAACUCCCCGACAGCUCGUAGCUGUCUCUUCAUCAAAGCAGAAGUAAUUUUCUCACUUUAGCUAUUAGCUUCAGAUUUCAUAAUUGGCAAUUUCAUAGUCGUCAUCUUCAUAAAGAUCAGACAAAAAAAAAAUCUGCAUAAAGAUCAACCAUCACAAUAUUUUUUGAGCGGAGGAUGGAUGUUCACUUCAUUUCAUCAACACGGAUCCACACUUUCUUUAAAUCUCAUGCUUCACCAAUUCCAAUUCAUUCCAAGCAUCUCCCUUUUCACCAAAUCUACCUUAGGCCGGCGAGUUGGAGGAUCGAAUCUGGGGGAUUCUCCCUCACCCAUCAAGUGCUCGAUGAAAUACCUCUCUCCGAUACCUUUGCUUGGAACAAUCUUAUCCACUCCCAUUUGAUCAGUAGAGAUCCUAUCGGCGCACUUUCUAUUUAUCUUCACAUGCUUCUCCAAGGUGCUCGUCUUGACAAGCGCACUUUCCCUCGUGUUUUAACUGCUUCUCGCCUUUGCAGCAACCUUUGUCUUGGCAAACAAGUUCAUUGCCAGGCUCUCAAGCUUGGCUUCUCCUCCGAUCAAUAUGUCAUUACUUCUUUAAUUCAAAUGUAUGGGGAUCUUGAUAGCACUGACGCUGCAAAAUGGCUGUUUGAUAAAUCUCCUACCAAGAAUUCUGUUUCUUGGACCAUGUUAGCCAAGUUCUACUUAUCUCAAAAUAAGCCGGAUUUGGCUAUUGAUAUGUUUCAUCAAAUGAUGGACUCCAAUGCGUAUCAAGUUGAUCCAGUAGCGUUAGCAACAGUUGUUGGUGCCUGUGCUAAAUUGAAAUCUGUGCAACAAGGAAGAAAUGUUCAUGAGAUAGCAAGGAAAUGUGGACUGGAGUUUGAUAUUUUGGUGGCCAAUUCUCUUUUGAAAAUGUAUAUUGAUUGCGACAAUAUUGAGGACGCUCGGGCAACUUUUGAUGGAAUGCCAACCAAAGAUAUCAUUUCAUGGACGGAAAUUAUAAAUGGGUAUGUGAAGAAUGGAGGAUUUAAUGAAGCUCUCAAAUUGUUUAGGUGGAAGAAUGCAGUUGGAAUAAAACCGGAUUCCCUAUCUAUUUGUAGUGUUCUCCCUGCUUGUGCAAGACCGGCAGCUUAUAAGCAUGGGAAAGAGAUUCAUGCUUACUUGCUAAGAAACGGCAUUCAGCUUAAUCAUAAAGUCCAAAAUGCUCUUAUGGACAUGUAUAUUAAAUCAGGAUUCAUAGAGUGUGCUUCAAAUGUUUUUGCCCGGAUGAAGAAGAGGGAUGUUAUUUCAUGGACUGUGAUGAUACUAGGCUUUAGCUUACAUGGACAAGGUGAGGUUGGAGUAGAAUUGUUCCACAGGCUGGAAGACUCAUGCAUAGAGAUUGAUCAAUUUACACAUCAAGCUGUCCUGCGUUGUUGUACUACCGCAUGCAUGGUUGAGGAGGGAAAACUUUAUUUCAAUUGUAUUAAGGAUCCGAAUUCCACACACUAUGCCUUGAUGGUUGCUCUUUUAGCUCGUGCUGCGCUUUUUGAUGAGGCAAGAGCCUUUAUUGAAGAGCAUCGGAUUGGAGGGCAUGGAGAGGUACUAAGAGCAAUGCUAGAUGGGUGCCAGAUCCACCAGCAAGCAGAAAUAGGUAAGCAGAUCAUUGAGCAACUUUGUGAAUUGGAACCUCUUAAUGCAGAAAACUAUGUGUUACUGUCCAAUUGGUAUACUGCUAAUGCACAAUGGGAAAUGGUUAGUAAAUUAGAAGGAAGAAUUAAAGACACAGGUUUGAAGCCUAAGAAAGUUUAUAGCUGGAUAGAAUUCCACAAUAAAGUUCACACAUUUGGGACAGGAGACGUAUCCCACCCAAGAGCGGAGAGAAUAUACGAGGAGUUACAGCGUUUAAUGAAGAACAUUGAAGUUGAAACACAUGGACCUACUUUUUUAAGCCUCAAGGAUGCAGAAGAAGAGCGGGAGUGCAUUCAAAUUGGACAUAGUGAAAUGUUGGCACUUGGUUUUGGGCUUAUCAGUACACAGGCAGGGGCAACAGUUCGUGUUACCAAAAAUCAUCAUGUGUGUCGCCGCUGCCAUGAUUCUGCAAAGCUUAUUUCUAAGAUAGUAGAGCGAGAAAUCAUAAUAAAGGACUCAAAUUGCUUCCAUCAUUUUAAGGAUGGAACUUGUUCGUGUAAGGAUUAUUGGUGAUUGAAUUUUGAUAUCUUGAUUUGUCUUAUGGUAUAUUGCUGUGAUGAAUCAUUAUAUUUCACUAACAUUGGACGUUGAAGGCAAUGUAUGGAAAGAAACCUCCAGAAUUGUGGACAAGCCAAACUGAAAUGGAUCAGGAAUUCAGGAUUUUUGCAUGGAUUUCCAAGAUUAACGUUUAAU